CUGGCGACGCGGAAGCUCCGCAACACGCUGUCGGUCAGCUUCAUGGCGGCGGGUGGGGAAGGCAGCCGGGACUGGCAGCGGGCGGGCUGCUGAGGGGCCAACCCCUGGUGGCGGCGGUGUUGAGCCGGUGGCUAGCGAGAAGUCGGCCGGCAGUGGGGCCGCCUCCUUUUCUUCCUCCUGCUUGGACGACUGUCUUCCGCCUCAACUGUGGAGCCUCGCCGACCGUUAGUCCUCACAGACACCUCAGGGGCAACCGACGCAGCGCCACCUCAUCGUGUCCGCCAUCUUGGGGCGACGGCCAGAAGUCCAGGGCUAGGAGCCUCAGCCGGCGGACGCCAGGAAACAGCUUUCCCACAGUUAGAUCAUCAGCAAAUGUCACUUGGAUCCCUAGCUAAAUUGUUCUUCCCAGAAAAUAGUUAUCUCCACUAUGGAAAGUAUUUUAUCAGAAGAAUUCGUAGAAGUAGAAUCUGUUUGUCUUCAGUUAAACAAAAGAAGAACCUCAUUGCUUUCCAACUGGGCCCCGGCCAUUUUCCAGUUGAAACAUCAAAUAUUUUAUUUGUGUCUUUCACUGCCAAUUAAAGGGCAACAGAAAUGGUACAGGUCUAGGUUAAUAGCAGGUAAUUGUGACAAGUCCAGUGUGGGUUACUGGUCAUGAAGAAUCCAUUGUUGAUGACAUCCCAGAAGAGAACACUAAGUCUUAGCUUUCAUCUUACCCCUGAACUUCCCUUCCUCUGAAGCACUCAUUAGGUGAAUAAACAAUAUUCCCUAUACCUAUAGAGUGGAAUACCACCCAGCAUCCUCUCACAUACAAAGAAAGAACAAAUUGCUGAUAGACACAGAUGUCCAUCAAUCUCAAAAGUCGUCAUGAAACCUCUGGAAGAAUUGAGCUGGUCGACUAUGCAAACAGUUGUCAAGAGCCUAUAAAAUAUGCAGCAUAAAAUUUUUCCUUUGUAGUCAAACCUGAUUAUUCCUCUUAGAUACUGGGAACAGAAUUUCACAGUCGUCAGAGAAUAUACCUUUUGUAUUUUCGUAUUAAAUAUGUACUCCUAUUACUUAACAAUUGUAGUUUAACUCCUUUUUUAGGUAAAAUUCUAAUUUUUCUCUUCUGUUAAAAAUUUCCAGUUCCAACACGAAGAUAAUAAAGAAUAUUAAUUUUAUCCU
This 1161-nucleotide long non-coding RNA is filed under the name Homo sapiens (human). Its description in RNAcentral is "long intergenic non-protein coding RNA 879". Lineage: Eukaryota; Metazoa; Chordata; Mammalia; Primates; Hominidae. The record is from RNAcentral.